AACGCACAUUGCGCUUCCUGGUAUUCCGGGGAGCAUGCCCGUUUCAGAAUCAUUUAAAACUAUCUUGAUAUGUUGUGUCUGGUAUAUUUUUUUAUGCCGGACGUGCCAUGUUGAGGAUGUUGAGUAGUUUUUGCUGGCUCUAAGCUUCCAAUAACUCAUAAAUGAUUGUAUGUAUCGCUGCAAUGAAAUUUGUUUGCGGAUUAAGUGCAACAGAGUAUAUCUAUUCGCUUAGACUGCUUUCAAAUGGUAGUUGCCGAAGCAUAUUCUAAGAUAAUACCAGUAAUUUGUACAAUAGUGCGAUUGCUGAUAACUUGGUCUGAAAUCGGGCAAGAAAACCCGCUGAACUUAA
RNAcentral lists this unclassified non-coding RNA (349 nucleotides) under uncultured Spizellomycetales. RNAcentral's name for it is "sequence contains 5.8S rRNA gene, ITS2, 28S rRNA gene". Lineage: Eukaryota; Fungi; Chytridiomycota; Chytridiomycetes; Spizellomycetales. The record is from RNAcentral.